GGGGGUGUUUUGGUUUUGACAGCGCCAGUGUUGGAUGGUAAGCACGCCGGGCGUGGGAGCCUUGCCCGUAAAUCUCAGACUCCAAAAAAUCAGUUGCCAACAACAACUACGCACUCGCUGCUUAAUUAGCCUAAGGCAAUUAGCUUAAUCCGCCGCGCCAAGGUUGCGCCGCCGACGAGUAUCCCUCGGCCCUUCCGCCUCUUAAGGGCCCCUCAAGGGGUAUCAUCCAUUUGAGGCUGCUCCGGAGGAUGCCUUUAAAUCCGGUCAAGACCUAAAGGCUAAGGGUGAGUCCCGCCCGCCUUCCGGCAAGCUCAUCACAAAAACCAAAGGACGGAUAAGCGUGUAGAAAGCCACCUGGCAGGACGUUUGGACAGCGGUUCGAGUCCGCUCACCUCCACU
Molecule: transfer-messenger RNA, 399 nt
Filed under: bovine gut metagenome
Rfam family: transfer-messenger RNA
About the family: Bacterial tmRNA, also known as 10Sa RNA or SsrA, is named for its dual tRNA and mRNA-like properties. Its role is to liberate the mRNA from a stalled ribosome. To accomplish this part of the tmRNA is used as a reading frame that ends in a translation stop signal.
Source: RNAcentral